Molecule: ribosomal RNA, 854 nt
Filed under: Canoparmelia caroliniana
Lineage: Eukaryota; Fungi; Ascomycota; Lecanoromycetes; Lecanorales; Parmeliaceae
Description: SSU rRNA
Rfam family: Bacterial small subunit ribosomal RNA
Source: RNAcentral
UACCCUACGGCGUGAACCAGCAACUUGGAGGAAUGUAUAGCAAUUGCUACUUGCAUCAUUGUAGAGAUGAUGCAAGAUCGACUAAGUUGAAUAAAAUUCUAGGUAGAAUUAUGAUGAUGACAUUUUCUGCCUAUGUGUCUUGACCAAAUUACGUGCCAGCAGUCGCGGUAAUACGUAGAAGACUAGUGUUAUUCAUGUUUAAUCGGUUUAAAGGGUACCUAGACGGUAGAUCAAGCUUUCAAUAAGGACUAGUUUACUAGAGUUACUUAUGAGGGGGUUGUAAAGUACUGUUGGUGUAGAGAUGAAAUUCUGUCAUACCUCUUUUCAAAAGAAAAAUCACGGCACAGGUAUAGGCGAAGGCAUCCCCUUAUGUGAUAACUGACGUUGAGGGACGAAGGCUUCGUGGAACAAACAGGAUUAGAUACCCCAGUAGUUGAAGCAGAAAAUGAUGAAUGUCAUAGAUUAGAUGUCUAAGUUUAUUCUAUAAAUGAAAGUGUAAGCAUUCCACCUCAAGAGUAAUUUGGCAACAUUGGAACUGAAAUCAUUAGACCGUUUCUGAUACCAGUAGUGAAGUAUGUUGUUUAAUUUGAUGAUCCGCAAAAAACCUUACCACAAUUUGAAUAGAUAUAUCCUUUAUUGUUUUUUUUAAUUUUUUUUCAGAUACUUGUAUCUAGAGCACUAUUAAUGAGGCAAUAAAAUAUAUCUACAAGCGCUGCACGGCUGUCUUCAGUUAAUGUCGUGAGAUUUUGGUUAGUUCCAUUAAAUUAACGUAAACCCUUACUUUAUUUUUACAUAAAGUAGUUCCCCACUAUAUUGGAUAUGAUAACAGGGACUAAGACAAGUCAUCAUGGCCU